This is a long non-coding RNA of Falco peregrinus (peregrine falcon), 3045 nucleotides long. RefSeq lists it as uncharacterized. NCBI's taxonomy places the organism in Eukaryota, Metazoa, Chordata, Aves, Falconiformes, Falconidae. The record is from RefSeq and is a predicted model, not a curated record. The transcript is spliced from 2 exons.
AGUAUGGCAGUCUCCUCCUCCUUGUAUGCUUCACUGAAGACUGCUUUCAAUACAAAUAUCAUUUGACAUUUUUUAUCUACAUAGUUUCCUGUGGCAUGGCCCAGCAAGUCUGGAAGCCUUUCUGUCUAUACCAUCUCUAGCACUCCUACCCUCUCAUGAAAGAGGGGACACCAAUAAAUGGGAGAAAUAGGAAGUAGGAAUAUGAUCAGCAGGAGGAAAAUCCUAAUUCUUAGCUGGGCAACUGGUUCUUCUACAGAAGGAAGCUGUUAUCCUUGGAGAUACAAAUCCCAUAGGGGUAAAAUAACAAUAAAUACUACGUAACAGAUCCGCAUGGUUUGGUGUAAUUCUUUACACACUCAACUCCAUAGCUUCAGAAGGAAUUAUAUCACCUACUGCACAAAAAGCUCAAAAAACCCUCAAGAUCCCCAGUCAAUCCUUGCAUUAGCAUGUGGCAGCUCACAUCCUUUAGGGAUCACUGGUGCUGCAGAAAUACACCUCUGUGUAGAGCCAUGCUACUAGAGAAGGGUGCUAGGAAUUCCAGAGUACAACUAAUGCCCACCUCAUGCCUGCCUGUCUGUCUUUUUCUUUCUUUCUUCCUUAUCUGCUUGUUUUCUGUGUUCAUUCAGUUUUGCAAAGGGCUCCCUGAACCCCAAGAGUAAAAAUGGCUCUACAAUUCCCUGGACACAUGAAUUAAAGUCCCUCAGUCACUCAGAAUAUUGGGAAGGAGGAAAGACCACCCACGCAGCCACCCACACCCCCUGCCAGAUCACCUAGCCCUUUGAGAAAAAUAAAAAUCGGUUCACGGUCAACAUGCUUCCAUCCAAAAACCACAAAGAUGCCCGUUAAGAUUCCAAAUAACACGCAAAAGUACAGAUAGGAAAAUAUCUCCUUUUUUUGACAGAAAUGGAAUCGCAUCUGAGAUUAAAUAACUGCAGCUCUUAAACUUCCCUGAAUAGCUACAGAGAGGUCAAACGCUUGCUCUCUGAUGUGCAGCACAAGAAGGGUCAGGUGUAGCAUCUCUGGUCUUGUGAGCCACCCCCCUGAAGAUCAGGUACUAAGCUGAGCCAGGAGGACCUUCGACCUUUUUCACUGCCCAUUUCAAGAAUUGCUUCCUGCAACACUUGCUGCUCUAUGAUGCCAUUUAUCUUACAAGAGUCAACAAGACCAUAGGAAGAAAGCUCACUAUAAAUUACAUAGAUAAAAUGGAGGUGGGGAGAAAGUAUUAUGACAGUUCUGUAUUCAUAAAUGUUUACAUAUUCAUAAAUACAUGCAAGAAAGAAUUGCACAUUUACGGAAACUGUCUUGAAAAGGUAACAUUAAAACCCAGAAUAUUAAACAUUUUAACGGCAAUGGAGUUUAACUUUGUCUGUGAAAUUUCAUGAUUAACUCCACUGUCAGAGAAAGUCAUUGAGUAACUCCACCAGUCAAGAAACUUACAAGGAAAGGCCUAAGCCGUACCUUGUCCUCUGAAUAUUUAUACAGGAAAAAACACACUUUUUACUCAAAAAAACUACAGGAGAAAAGCAGAACAACUCCAAGCCAGCCAGCGACUACACAAAGAAAGAAGAUCAGUUCUACAACUUUACAGUUAAAAAAAAAUAAAUAUCUCAACAGCACACAAUUAAACCGAACUUGUUUAACUACAUUAUUAAAUCAAGAAUUCCUCUCUAACUAGUCUGUAUUUCACAAAGCUGAAAUAAAGCUAUAAAUCUCAGAAGAGAUCCAUAGGAGGAGACAUCUGUGAUCUCAGAGUUCAUAAAUUCUAAUCCUUGCCCAAGAUUAACAGUACCUAACUUAUUUCUAGCCUGUUACUGCUUUUUCAGAGAAAACUAUUCAAUUUUUUCUCGAUACUUUCACUGCUCUUGAUGGUACUUAUUAUAAAGAUACAAAGUCCCAACACAUAAAAGAUAAGUAACACCUACUCUGUGUUCAGUUUCACAGAAACACAAUUUGACAUUCCCUUUGGUAAAACCGAGCUACAUUUUCCCAACGUCGCUUUGCAAUUUCCCAACAAAAACCUUCAUCCUUUUUUUUUUUUUUUAACUAACUCUUUAGUGAUAGUAUGAUGAGUGCAGACUGAUCUACGUGGCACUCACAUCUGCAGAUACUUGCAACUAAUAUUAAGAUUUCUAAAUUACAAAAGUCUUCCAGGUACUUUAUGGGAUCAAGCUAAAAAAUGUAAUUUCUGAUUUGUAUUACAAUGUGCUAAAAUACGUUAAGAUUGAUCAGACCAUUUUUUUUCAAAGGUGGGAAUGAAAGCCAAGAGGUGGGGUAUUGAUUUGGGGUUUCAGACGAAACAACAGAAGGAUAACCCAACCUUUGUGCUCCCUGUGUAUACCCACAGCAAGGUGAUCUGACCAAACAAGUGUGAAGUGUUAAUCUCUUUGGUCUUCACUGCCAACAGAGAGGAGUGAGGCAGCAAGAUGAGUUCUUGCAAAGCCACUCACUGCAAACACAUAAAAGAUGCAAUUUCAAAGAAAAGUCUUAACUGCUUUACUGAAGGUACGGCAUCACCUAGGAAGAUCUAGCUUGACUUUCAGCUCCUACAUUAAAACUGGAAGGAGAAAACCCCUCAAGUCCGUUCCAUAGGCACACUGUACCGUUACAACAGUAGUCAGCAAGAAACACUGUGCAUGGAACACCACAGUACCGUUUUCUCCUCUUAAGCUAAAGCACAUUUGAACAGACAGCUAAGAGAAAGCAGCUCUAACUUGGAAGAUGCUCCAGGAAUUACUCUCCUGGAAAAAAAGCUGCCUAAGAAGGAAUACCCGGAGGCCGCACUGCCCCUCCUAAGCCAAGGCUAUCGGCUUGGCUUGGAGCACCGACGGCAGGCUUGGGUCAGCCAGUUUCACACGCUUUCGGGCACGAAGCAGCCAGAAGCGCCCCAGCCCUCACGGCCACAGCAGAAGCCGGGCAAAGCGGCAUCCAGGGAUCAAUUUGCAUAUUGGAGUAGGUUCAGCAGAGGGCCACAAAGAUGAUUAGAGAACUGGACCACAUGACGUAUGAGGAGGAGCUGAGUCCCACGUUCAUCAUGGAGAAGAGAUG